Molecule: long non-coding RNA, 1963 nt
Organism: Pygocentrus nattereri (red-bellied piranha)
Lineage: Eukaryota; Metazoa; Chordata; Actinopteri; Characiformes; Serrasalmidae
Exons: 2
Source: RefSeq, a predicted model, not a curated record
CAAGACGAGAGCAGCUUGGGUUCAUCACAUGCUCCUAAAAGCCAGCUCUUGCCUGGCGCAGAGCAAGGAAAGGAAGCAUAAAGGGCUUAUUUAAGUGAUCAGCAGCCAACUCAAAUUAAUCAUUUCUGAAGGUAGCGUGGCUAGACAAGCAAGGGGAGACUCAGUAAAUCCUGAUGGAUCGGAGUCAGCGUGGUGCCAGGGCCAGCGUGCUGGGCAUGUGGACCGAGGUGAUGGAUGACUGGGGGAGCGCCAGUGGAGAGCAAUCUCUCUGCCCAUAUGGGCUGGUGGCGAUGGCAGGAGGCGACUGGGUGAUGGCACUCUGAACGCCAGGCGCGCUUUGGCCGGCCACCAGGACCUGUCAUCACCCCCUCGCCUGCUGGGCCCUCCAAACCUCCGUGCCUGAGAGAGAGAGAGAGAGAGAGAGAGAGAGAGAGAGAGAGAGAGAGAGAGGAGAGAAACUGACUGCCACUGCCCACUAACAAGGCUGGAGUGUCCUUUUCUAAAUAUACUAUGGUAAAUAUGCCAAGAAAAGGUUCACAAGCUCUCUGAAGUGGAAGAAAAAAAAAACCUCUAUGGAUAUAUAUAACCACACGGUUAUUAAAGAUGAUUGAGUCUUUGCCGUUUAGGUUAUGCCGGAAAUGUGAUUAUGGUGGCCAAAAAUAAAGAAAAUAAAAAAAAUAAAUAAAUAAACUGCCAUUAAUAUAAUCUGAGCAGGCAGGGAAACUGCACAUGUGAAGGAAGAGGCCAGAGGAUCUUGCGUCAGAGGCUUGGAUGCUGCCGUCUCAAAUGCAAUAGAAUGUGAAAUGAAAAUAGAGCAAAGGCUCAGCUCUGUUCUGCAUGGAGAUUUAUAGACUUGGAUGCAACUCUGAGGUGCCUGUGUACAAAUGAUUUAUCAAUUCGUUUUACAUCUGUGCUCACAAAAAAAAGUACUGGCUUUCACCCACUGAAAUGGAGACCAGACUAGACCAUGAAACUUUGCCAUAUAUAUCUUAAUAUUGACCCUUGGGUCAUACAGCCCGGGUGCCAUAAUACCAUGGACCUAACACCAGCCUUAAGGGGAAAUAGUCAUGUAGUGAUGCUGGAACUUCAUUGGUUUUACUAGCUUGGCCUAUUGACAGCAGCCUGAUCGAAUCAAAGCAUAUCACAGCUGAAAUAUGACAAAAUAGUUCUUCAGGCCUUGAAUGCUCUGCAGGGUUAGGAAAAAAGGUUCUGUACAGGUACAAUUUUCAUUCAUCAAGUUACACACAAUGUAAAUGUUCCCUCAAAGGUACAACAGUGUGUUUAAGGUCUGAUUGUGAGCCUUAAAUAAGUUUUACCAGGUGAAAAGUACAUAUUUGUACCUUUUCAUAACCGAAUGUUUUAAAACAGAACAAUAAAAUAAAAGCCUGGAGACGAGACGGGGUGUGUGGAGUCCGUACAAGUUAUAUAUAUGAUCAGUGGAUUAUGGUACAGUUACAUUCCCUGACUUAAGGUACUGAGUUGUACCCUUGAGGGUACCAGCCCAGUGCUGGGGUGGGGGGUGGGAGUUACUGCCCCACUGACAGUUUAGUAUCUUUCCGAGAGUGUGUGUGCCAUUAUGAUGAACAAUUUCACCUUACUAGUCUGUUUUCAUUUGGGUGGACAGAUCUAUAUUUUUAUUCUAUAUUGUACUUAUAGAUAGAUAUAAUGUACAGUUGAUAUAUGAUCAAAUAGCCUAACGUUGGAUGCUCUUAAAUAAUGAAUGGAAACAAUCACAUUUUUAUUCAGAAGUUAGCAACCCUUCAAAGGGCAAGUCUAGUUAGCAUAUUUAUUAUGCCAAUUAGCUAAUGUAGACAUCUAGCCACGACUAAGCUGUCUUCCAUAAGGAAUUGGGUAAAAAAAUCCCAAAGAAAUGAAAUGUGUGGCUAAUGUAUGGCAGUCAUGUAGAAGUGUUGUCAAAGUGUAACUGUAAAUAACUGUAAAUAAAAGUGGACUGUAUUGUUCU